Molecule: long non-coding RNA, 2902 nt
Filed under: Olea europaea (common olive)
Lineage: Eukaryota; Viridiplantae; Streptophyta; Magnoliopsida; Lamiales; Oleaceae
Description: long non-coding RNA (OEUR_LNC004106)
Source: RNAcentral
AGCCUCGCGACCGAUGUAAAGCGACAUUUCUUCUAUGUAUAUUGCAGACAAGAAUAGUGCCAUAUUACGUUACAACAUCCUGGAUUCUCAGUACAGAAGAACUCUAUUUUUCUCAAAUUUCACUCGUUAAUUAACCAGGAUCAAACUAAAUAACUCCGUUCAAUUAACUAUCCCAAGAUCCGUCAAAGUAAAACCUAGUUGCUUAGUCGAGGUUCUUCCAAUAAAAAAACAGAAUCGAUUUCACAAUAAUCCUUUAAAAAAAUCGAAGUUAUAUUGUAAAUCAAUCUGAACAAGAAGCUUUUAAAAGGGCAAUUUCUCUCUUGAAACUGGGGCUGCUGCUUAUUGGUAUCUUUAUUGGUUUCUCUCCCUCUCGCGCUAAAUAUAUAUCAGUGUUGUUUGAUUUGUCUCCUUUGUACGAUAACACGCGAGUUGAACACGGAGAAACAGUUGAGACUGAGCCGGCUAUUUCAAGGAAAUUGUAUUUUGACAAUAAUCCUUUAAAAAAAUCGAAGUUAUAUUGUAAAUCAAUCUGAACAAGAAGCUUUUAAAAGGGCAAUUUCUCUCUUGAAAUCUUUUUAUUGGUUUCUCUCCCUCUCGCGCUAAAUAUAUAUCAGUGUUGUUUGAUUUGUCUCCUUUGUACGAUAACACGCGAGUUGAACACGGAGAAACAGUUGAGACUGAGCCGGCUAUUUCAAGGAAAUUGUAUUUUUACCUUUUCGCAAAAGGAAUGGAAAAUCUUUUUAAAAAAUAAUAACAAUGAAAAAUCCGAAAAUGAGCUGGAAUAAUCUUUUUCUUUUCUUUUCUUUUUUAAGUAAGGCAACUGGAAUAAUCUUUUAAAUAUUCAUGUAAAAUUAAUUUUCAGAUAAAAAAAUGAAUUUGAUUUCUGUCCAAAAUAAUAUCUUCUUCUAAAUCAAAUUUCAAAUAUCUUUGAUUCAACAUCCGUUUUGAAAUUUAUAAUACCUCUACAAGUUGUAAAUUGCCCUUUUUCUUUUCAAUUACCGUAUUAUCUUGUCAAAAUUUUGAUCAUUAAUUAAUAAAGAAAAAAUUGUCCGCGAGAAAUAGUUGACUUCAAGUUUUCAUGUGCACCUACCUCAUGUUAUGUGGACUGCGUCCAAAUUUAUUUUCUUGUAAUAUCUCAAAUUGGUUGUUAAUAAUUUCAAUGAAGGAAAUUACCCUAUCGACUCAAAUUAGAGAAACAAAAUCCAACUUCGUAGAGUAGGUAUAAGAGGGUUUUUAAGAGCAUGUUUGGUACAGCUUAAAACACAAUUAAAAUCAAUUUUUUGACCGUUAUUUCACUAUUUCAGAUGUCAUUUUCGAAUUCUUCUCUUACAUGUAGCACUCACUUUAUCUCUAACGGUCAAAAAAUUAAUUAACAAAAUCCCUACCAAACAAACACUAAAUAUUUGGACGGUGUAAAUUUUUUUGCUCUUGAAGAUGAAGGGAUGGAAAGUCCACUGCAGCAGAUCAUCAACCAAAAUCAAUAUACGAAGGAAAACUUAAAAAAACAACAGGAGGGAGUAAAUGUUAAAACCAGUAAAUGGGAAAACUUACCAAGACAAACGAUAGAAAGACGAAUGUAAAUACUGUUUCACUGAUGUAAGCUUUGUCUAGUCCAAGCUCCUAUAAUAGUUCCAGAAGUUUGAGAUGAGUAAAGCCAGACAGCGAGUAGGCAUCUCAUUAGUAGUAAUAUCCAUGAAAAUACAUAAAACAUAUAUUUCUCACCGGAAGAAGAAAGAAGCCAACAUCCUGAAGUAUUGGUCCUGGCCGAUGAAAAUAAUGAAUUCCUCGAGCAGCUAGUCCGUGUAUGUACUGAAGAAAGAAGAUAAAGACAGAUUUCUCAUCUUAUGCAUUUCAAACCAACUAUAACAGGGAAAAGCACAGAAAAAUAAGCAAAAUUAAGUUCCUGGAACAGUUGUAAAUUAAACUAAAUGGAAUGGAGAAUAAAUCUUUCCUUUAUUAUUUGUAGCCAGAUAACACCAGAUCAGCUCUAAAGCCCCAUUACUUUGCUUAAUGAUGUUGCAAUAAAAGCACAAUUAUGAAUUAUUCAAAGACUAAUUUGUGAAGCACGUCAUGUUCACGUCACUCAAAUCAGAAAGUAGUUAAUUGAAGUCGAAUUUAAUGACGAGAACAAUCUGGAAAUAGCUACAGCUUACCCACUAAGCAACCUAACAAAGGCUUUUCGAAUUGCAGAAAACACAUCAAAAGACAAUCUUAAACUACUGGAAAGAUCUUAAGGUCUUCCACCAAAUUAUAAUCAUCAUAAAAUUCAUAAGACGAUAUUUCAUCAUAUCGGAAAUGGGUAAAGAUCAAUAUAUAUGUGUUUACACAAACCUGACAAAUGAGACCCCCUAGAAUAUACUUCCAAUUUUCUGCGAGAAGGUUGAUUUCGGUUGUAAUUUCCGCACAAAAUCUCUUCCAUAACUACUCACAAAUAACACAACAAAAAAUCGAUAAAACACCGCCAAAAGUAGCAUUAAUCAAACUAACAAAUGAAUUAAAAUAAACAUAGUAAAAAAUCGCAGAGAGAAAGUGCAGAUGAAAAACGAACCUUUGAAGCCUCGCGACCGAUGUAAAGCGACAUUUCUUCUAUGUAUAUUGCAGACAAGAAUAGUGCCAUAUUACGUUACAACAUCCUGGAUUCUCAGUACAGAAGAACUCUAUUUUUCUCAAAUUUCACUCGUUAAUUAACCAGGAUCAAACUAAAUAACUCCGUUCAAUUAACUAUCCCAAGAUCCGUCAAAGUAAAACCUAGUUGCUUAGUCGAGGUUCUUCCAAUAAAAAAACAGAAUCGAUUUCACAAUAAUCCUUUAAAAAAAUCGAAGUUAUAUUGUAAAUCAAUCUGAACAAGAAGCUUUUAAAAGGGCAAUUUCUCUCUUGAAAUCUUUUUAUUGGUUUCUCUCCC